AAUCCAUGGUGAGGACACCUUCGCAGUAGGUUCUUAAAUCUCUCCCAUACAUCGUAAGGAGGUUCUAAGUCCAUCUGCACAAACGAAGAGAUAUCAUUAUGUAAUU
Gossypium arboreum is the source of this 106-nucleotide non-coding RNA. The record is from Rfam. NCBI's taxonomy places the organism in Eukaryota, Viridiplantae, Streptophyta, Magnoliopsida, Malvales, Malvaceae.